GAGAAAACACUGAUUUGUAACACUAGAAAAAGCCAAGAUAUAUCUUUGGCCAAUUUCUUAACCACACUUCUUUAGCCAUAAAAUUUUUCAUUUAUUUUACUUUUUCAGUUAUUUAUUGAAAUAACUAUCCAGAAAACAUUUUUUAAAAAGCUUUUACAUCCAGAGCUAGACUCAAUAUUAAAAGUUGGACUUAUUUUUGUACGUUAAUCUUCUAAACGGUCAUCUGCUCUUCCAGAACGCCCUAUCUCAGCGGCCAGCAUGAUGGUCCAUCCCGAGCCACAAGUCGUCUUUUCUGCUUCUGCCCUCCCUCACUCUCACAGCUAAUCCAACACCAAGUCUCAUCAAUUUUACUUCCUAAUACCACUCCACUCCAUCCACCUCUCUCCACACCCACUGCCACCGCCCUAGGAUAAGACAUUUUCAUCUCUUGUUUGCAUUCCCAUUAGUCUCCUUCCUAGGCUCCUACACCGCACUUGAACCCUGUAAUCAAUUCCCGCCUCUGCACUGCGGUCACCACCCCCAGUGCUCUCCCCACCUUAAAUUGCCCUGCGACGACCAACAUCUUCCAUGAGGCCAAAAGGCCGUUCCCACCUCUCCAGCCUCGUUAUAUACCAAACUUCCUUCCCUGCCGAAGCCACAACGCCUUUCAGAUUCUGGAAAUGCUCUUCCCCUUGGUUUAGGAAACACCAGAUGCUUGCCUGCUGCUAUCAUUCUUCUAAUUACCUCCCUAGCUAAGCCACACCUCCCUCCUCCCUGUCUCCCGCCCCCAUCUGAUUGUUGAGCUCAACAUUAAAUGCUUCCACAGUAGGGUUUCUUUCCUUUAUGGCACUUACUACAAUUACAAUUUUGUGAUUACCUUAUGACCGUCUCUCUCCUUCACUAGAUGGUAAUUUCUAUGAAGCAGGGAAUGAAUCUCAUUUAUCCUUUAUUGUAUUGUGCCUGGCACAAUAAACAGUAGUUCAUUUUCCAGAACCCUCUCCACUCUAUCUACUUUCUUAGACUGAGGCCUCUCGUGACAUGGACUUGGAACUGCGGCUUUUCAGGGAGAAAACUUCUCAGGAGUCUUAUACAUACAUGAAGCCUACUAAAUGACAAAUGGGGGAAAAGGAAAAAUCCCACAAUCCCUUAGCGACCUUCCCCAACAAAGCUUCCUCCGGGGGCUGCAAGGAGCAAGGCAACAGUCCCGUCUGCCCUUCCCGCUCUGGGGCAGAAACCAGGACCAAGCGGCCAGGAGCGCUCCGAGAAUGCACACCCGGUCACGUGCACCGGCGGCGGCCACGCCCACCCCGGAAGGGGACCUGCGGCGCGCCUCGGCUGGAGAAGGGCCCCAGCGACGUAAGGCGUGCGUGCGUACGUGCGCCGGGAUGGCGAGGCGGAAGGGCCAGGGGACUGAAGGAGCGGCUCCGGGCUACCGGGACAGCGGCUUGCGCCCGAAGUCAGCUUUAGCGCCUGGCUGAGUCCCCGACCCGCGGCAGGGCCUGCGGGGCCUCUCUGCGUCCCGCCCGACGGGAUGGGUGGCAGUGACCUUCCAGGGACACGGCCGAGGGCAAUGUCGCUUCCUUCACAGGCACGUCCCCAAGACUACGUCCUCACGCCGCAGGUUCCCCCGCUGCGUGCUCAGCGCCCCUCGCCCGUAGCUUUACCUGUACCGGCCGGCGAUGAGCAAAGUCUGUCAGAAGGAGCCGGUAAACGGGCUCCGCCGUGAGACCCCUUCGCUUUCCGUAGUGGGCGGGGCUUCGCCCGGCGUCUUUUAAAGGAAAGGUGACGUGGGAGGAGCGCCUUUCCAGCUGGCGGGAUAAAUACCUCCGACAGAAAGUGCGGGGGGCGCGCAAGUUCCUGCUGCUUAGAGGGGCGUCGCGGACUCCGUGCCGCGCUUGCGACCGUCAGCGGCUCUUCUCGUUACGUUACGUUGACGCCAGCCUCCGUGCUUCUACGUGCCCACUGGGGCUUACAGAGGCUUGUUUCCUAAACGUCUUUUGUUUAGUAAAAUGCUGUUUUAAUUUCAUGUUUAAUAAACUGUUUCAUAAGCGUCUUAUAAUUAUUGUGCGUCGGGGAGCCCUGCCCCCUGUUUGCAGGUGAGCAGACGGAGCCGGGCGCUAAGAGGUUGCCCCGGCGGCGUCGGUGACUGCGCUCGGUGACCGCGCGGGGCCGCCGGGACAGACGGAGGGGGCCGGCGGAUGGGGAAACUAGUUCAGCCUGAAGUAGCUGCUUGGGAGCAAGGACCGAGGCUCCGUUUCCUCAUCACGUCCACGGCGUCUGGCACGGAGGCGCUGAUGUUGGCUGAAAUAGUGAAGUGAACCCAGACGCAGCUCGUGUGUGUGACCCGAAGUCCGAGGACACCCUUGUUACCCCAUUUCACGGAGGAAGGAACUGAAGCAUAAAGAAGUUAAGUAAUUUGCCCAAGGACACACAACUAGUAGAGAAUCAAGAAUAAAAAGACCCAGGCAGCCUGGUGCCAGAGUUGGUGCUCUGAAUGCCGGAUGUUCCUUCUGCUGCUGAAUAAAGAAGAGCGAAGCCAAGUUCCAAGUCCGGGAGGAUACUGAGCGUAAUGUGUAAAAUUGAUGGAAGACUUGAAUAGCUAAACGAAAGACUUGAAAUUUGGUAAGAUGAGGAUGUGAAUUAAAUUCACACCCAGUGAUCGUGCGUAGCCCAAGCUCCUGCCAGCAUCCAGUUUGUAGCCCCUCUUUGAAGCCCCAUCUCUAAGUGUCCAGAGUAGAUGCUUUGGGAGAUUUUCUAGACUGCCGUUGUCAGAUGUCUCAACAAGAAGGAGAUGCUUUAGUAUUCCUGGAAGGAGAGGAACAGAAAAGGGGUGGGCGUUAGAGACCUGCCCUCAGACAGAAGCUGUUUUUUUCAUCUGCUCCCUUGAACUCUGCUUUGCCCUCCAGCUCAGUGGGACACGGCAGCUUUUAAAGAGCCUGCCUUGGGCUCAGCUCUGUCCCGACAGACUUUGCAGACUCUUGAAUAAAGACGGUAAAGCAGGCAACUGGCCCUCCUAGGACCCUUCCCUAUAUUUAUGGCCUCUACUUGUGGAGGCAUCCUUCUUGGUUUAGGGAGGUCAUGUUACUGUGCCGUAAACUAUCUGGUUCAGUAUGUGCAUAGAGGAGGACUCUCGGAGGUCUAUAGAGCUUUCCCAAUUAUUAUUGUUUCUACCCAUAAUUUACAAAAAAAAAGAACCGAAAAAUACCAAAGUGUAACUCAGUAAGAUUCAAAUCCUGGGGGCUCUAAAACGUCUACCUUUUCUUCCACGAUGAGAUUCCAUGGUUGGUCCCUGAAUGACACAUUUUCUCACACAACGCCUAUUGUGGUGUUUUGCUCUGAUGAAGGAUUAAAGGAGAUAUUUUGUCCCUGUCCUUGCCUGUCAUCUUUCAGAGUCACCUCUCUCUCCGCUGGCAUGGAGGGAACCUUCCGAACAAGGAGACUCGUAAGAGGCAGUUACUUAGCCCGAGGUCGUUGAGGUUCAAUAUAUCUGUUCCACAAAGUAAUUAUCCUAUGAGUGAUUCCGUUAAGAAGUUACUAACACUAGGCUGUGACUUUAUGAUGCCACAAUGACAGCAACAAUUACUUUAAGAAGCUAAUGUUAAACUAAUCGAAAUCCUAGGUUUAUUUUGAAGUUAAGUAGCUGUGGCAAAGCCUGGGUGGGUUCAGAUAUUCAGCAUAUUCUCCAACAAAUAGUUGUGAAUGGAUCAUAGGUAGUUAAUCUACAUCUUCCUCCAUUAGGUUGUAAGUUCUUAUCAGGGCAGUUUUGCUAAAAUGGGGGAGCCGAAGAAGUCUUAUGUGUCAGAUCUAUGCAGUGCAAACUAAAUCUGGCUGAGAGCAGCUGUCUUGAAUGGCAGCAACCUCUCAUCACAGAGCCAGUUUGAAUAGCUGAGAGGGUCCAUGCUCUCCUGAGUUUUUGUUGACAGACUUGUCAAAAAGGACACGGAAAGCAAGGUGCGCAGGCAGCUCUGGCUGAGCAUGAGGUCGCUCAGGACAAACCUCCUGGAGAUGCUCUCAGUCCAAUCCUGUGUCUGUUAGCAUCACAUCAGAAAGCUGGUGGCCUCACCGAGUGUCUGCCAUUUAUCCUCAGGCAGAACUGUGAUUAAUCCAUUCCAAACACGUAAACAUCCAGAAACAAAAACAAAAACAAAAAACUCCAGGAGAGGAGAUUUAGCCCUCCCUCAGGAGCUCCUGUCAGUGUUUUAAAGGACUUAGGGGUCUUUUCCUUUAAGUAACCAAAAUCCCUCGUGUGGCUACUUCUGCCAGUUCCCCAGAGGAGCUGGAGAACAUCGGGUGACCACAUUUGUGUUAAACCCUUUAUGUGCUCUCAAACUAUUAUUUGAUUCAGAAUAAAUUUCAUUAUCAUGUGUAAGAUUUCCCAUAACAUUAGACUCCAAAUUAAUCAUUUCUCUUGUCAAAAAAUGAUGGCCCCGAUUAUUAAAACAUGAUGGUGGUUGUGAAUGAGCAAAAUAAAUUUAUCUA
Molecule: long non-coding RNA, 4458 nt
Organism: Equus asinus (donkey)
Lineage: Eukaryota; Metazoa; Chordata; Mammalia; Perissodactyla; Equidae
Source: Ensembl